CUCCAUCAUGAAAAACACAUGCAAAAGAAGGCACUUUCUUAUGCUUUAAUAUGGGCAAUUUCCUUCUGAACGGAACGCUAAGAAAAGACAUUGUUUCUAUGACAUAUCUAUAUACUUUCAGGUCUUGAUUGAAUUAAGUGUCUAGAGCCCUCUGGUCAUCUUCGCUUAACAUUUGCCCCUCUGGGAAUAUGGACCAAAAUUCUUUAUGGGGUGAAGAAGUUUGUCAGGAGGGUGAUUUGAAAUGACUCCUACUCAAUAGUCAUGCCUUCAGAAGCCCCUGAGCAUGGCUGCUUACGUCUUGGAGGGUUCUCCCUCACAUCUUUUCAAUCACGUGAUUACAUUUGCCUCAGCUCAUAUGUUUUAAAA
Long non-coding RNA from Erinaceus europaeus (western European hedgehog), 366 nucleotides. RefSeq lists it as uncharacterized. The record is from RefSeq and is a predicted model, not a curated record. Lineage: Eukaryota; Metazoa; Chordata; Mammalia; Eulipotyphla; Erinaceidae. The transcript is spliced from 3 exons.